Molecule: ribosomal RNA, 253 nt
Filed under: uncultured microorganism
Description: partial 16S ribosomal RNA
Rfam family: Bacterial small subunit ribosomal RNA
Source: RNAcentral
UACGUAGGGUGCGAGCGUUAAUCGGAUUUACUGGGCGUAAAGCGUGCGCAGGCGGCCCGUUAAGACAGGUGUGAAAUCCCUCGGCUCAACCUAGGAAUUGCGCUUGUGACUGGCGGGCUCGAGUACGGGAGAGGGGGGUGGAAUUCCUGGUGUAGCAGUGAAAUGCGUAGAGAUCAGGAGGAACACCGAUGGCGAAGGCAGCCCCCUGGGCCUGUACUGACGCUCAGGCACGAAAGCGUGGGGAGCAUACAGG